RNAcentral lists this ribosomal RNA (253 nucleotides) under uncultured bacterium. Its description in RNAcentral is "partial 16S ribosomal RNA". It matches the Rfam family "Bacterial small subunit ribosomal RNA", at positions 524 to 776 of the family's 1533-position model. The record is from RNAcentral.
UACGUAGGGUGCGAGCGUUGUCCGGAAUUAUUGGGCGUAAGGGGCUCGUAGGCGGUUUGUCGCGUCGGGAGUGAAAACACCGGGCUUAACUCGGUGCUUGCUUUCGAUACGGGCAGACUAGAGGCAUGCAGGGGAGAACGGAAUUCCUGGUGUAGCGGUGAAAUGCGCAGAUAUCAGGAGGAACACCGGUGGCGAAGGCGGUUCUCUGGGCAUGUCCUGACGCUGAGGAGCGAAAGUGUGGGGAGCGAACAGG